Long non-coding RNA from Mobula hypostoma (lesser devil ray), 294 nucleotides. RefSeq lists it as uncharacterized. The transcript has 3 exons. NCBI's taxonomy places the organism in Eukaryota, Metazoa, Chordata, Chondrichthyes, Myliobatiformes, Myliobatidae. The record is from RefSeq and is a predicted model, not a curated record.
CUUACAAGGAGCAAAACUGCCAAAGAAUCCAGUCGCAGAUGGGACUGGAGGACCCUGUCCUCCAGGGCAUUUCUGUCCGAGUGGCACAACUUUUCCACUGGGAUGUCCUGCAGGAACCUACAAUGCUCUUGAAGGUCAGAGUACCUGCAGUCCAUGUGUUGAAGGUUACUUCUGUCCUUCAAAUACUUCAUCUUAUAAAAAUAAUAUCUGCCCACCUGGCCAUUACUGCCCUCCCGGAACAGAAUCUAAAGACAAAUUUCCCUGCCCCAGAGGGACUUAUAACCAACAAUCAGG